AUGGCUUUUCCCAAGCUUUUCUUCAUUUCGUCUUUGCUGGUGGUGAUUUUGUCAGCCUCAAGCACCCAAAUGAGCCAUGCAGCUCGCCACCUUUUGGACACACCAGCAGCAGCUUCACCCCCAACACUGGCAAUCCCAACAAUCCCCUCUCUGCCAAAUCCCACUCAGCUGCCUCCAUUGCCUUCACUACCAACACUUCCCAAGCCCUCAAACACCUUGCCUACACUUCCAACUGCCCCAACUCUGCCCAAGACCACAUUGCCUCCGCUUCCCUCAACCCCAUUGCCUACGCUUUCAACUGCUCCAACUCUGCCAAAGCCGGCCACGUUGCCACCGUUGCCCUCUGCCCUCCCAACUACUCUGCCUCCGUUGCCAACCUCCCAACCCCAAAUCCCAUCUUUGCCAAAAUCCACAUUGCCUACGGUGCCCACAACCCUCCCUCCACUGCCAGCCAACCCCCUUCCCUCAUUCCCCUCAACAAUCCCUUCAAUUCCCACCAUUCCAUCAACUAUUCCAUCGAUUCCAUUCUUCUCCCCACCCCCAUCAAAUUAA
Molecule: long non-coding RNA, 552 nt
Filed under: Prunus dulcis (almond)
Lineage: Eukaryota; Viridiplantae; Streptophyta; Magnoliopsida; Rosales; Rosaceae
Description: sRNA ncRNA
Source: RNAcentral